UGUUCUUUGGUCAGUGUUGUAGCUUAAUAAAAUAUUAUUUAAUGUUUUUGAAUACAGUUUUUAAUUAGUCGAAUCACCGACUGGCAAUGACCAUGACACAAUGUUAGAUUAUUAUUAUUAUGACUGCAUGCCUCUCGAUUAAAAAGAGCAAUAUUUCAUAUAUCAAAAUCCACUUUUUUUUAUCUUUUAUUCCAAAGCAAAAUUGAAGGUAAAACAACAUAAAUCGGAAAAUUUAUUUUCUGAUAUGCCACUAAGGGCGUGGUAAGUCGUAUCGGAAGGUAUAGUGAUUUUUCAAUCUCUGCUUUAUUUUAGCACUAUUAAUGCUAGAACCCUGAAAUAUUUUAUAUAUACUCGGGUUGGCCACCCAGGACCGAAACGCUAUGGCGGAUAUAUCUGCGGCCAUAGGGGGCUUGGCAAACAGCAAAAGUUUAUAUGUCCUACAGUUUUAGAGCGAGAAGCUUCAAAUUUGGAUAAUUGAGUUAAUGGCAUCCUCCUCUAUUAAUCCUCCUCUAUCCACUAGAGGCGUGGCGAAUCGGAACUUGUAGCGCCCAACUAAGAAAUUUAUAUGCGUGGAAUACUUUAAUGUAUAAUAAUGCAGAAUAGUAAUUAAAAUGAAUAAUAUGAAUAAUAA
Long non-coding RNA from Drosophila mojavensis, 631 nucleotides. RefSeq lists it as uncharacterized. The record is from RefSeq and is a predicted model, not a curated record. NCBI's taxonomy places the organism in Eukaryota, Metazoa, Arthropoda, Insecta, Diptera, Drosophilidae. The transcript is spliced from 2 exons.